This 263-nucleotide ribosomal RNA is filed under the name Percolomonas cosmopolitus. RNAcentral's name for it is "partial Bacterial small subunit ribosomal RNA". It matches the Rfam family "Bacterial small subunit ribosomal RNA", at positions 91 to 354 of the family's 1533-position model. The record is from RNAcentral. Lineage: Eukaryota; Heterolobosea; Eutetramitea; Percolomonadida; Percolomonadidae.
GAGACCGGCGCACGGGUGCGUAACGCGUAUGCAACCUACCUAUUGCAGGGGAAUAGCCCAGGGAAACUUGGAUUAAUGCCCCAUAGUCCAUAUUGAGAGCAUUUGAGAUAUGGUAAAGAUUUAUCGGCAAUAGAUGGGCAUGCGUCCCAUUAGCUAGUUGGUAUGGUAACGGCAUACCAAGGCUACGAUGGGUAGGGGCCCUGAGAGGGGGAUCCCCCACACUGGUACUGAGACACGGACCAGACUCCUACGGGAGGCAGCAG